Molecule: non-coding RNA, 110 nt
Filed under: Bifidobacterium angulatum
Lineage: Bacteria; Bacillati; Actinomycetota; Actinomycetes; Bifidobacteriales; Bifidobacteriaceae
Description: TPP sequence
Rfam family: TPP riboswitch aptamer (THI element)
About the family: Vitamin B(1) in its active form thiamin pyrophosphate (TPP) is an essential coenzyme that is synthesised by coupling of pyrimidine and thiazole moieties in bacteria. The previously detected thiamin-regulatory element, thi box was extended, resulting in a new, highly conserved RNA secondary structure, the THI element, which is widely distributed in eubacteria and also occurs in some archaea.
Source: RNAcentral
UUGUACAUGCAGGGGGGCUUCCCGCACGCGCGGGAGGCUGAGAUAGGCGAACGCCUGACCCUUUGAACCUGUUGGUUAGGACCAACGUAGGGAGCAGCGCAAUGAGUGAC